This 497-nucleotide ribosomal RNA is filed under the name uncultured bacterium. RNAcentral's name for it is "partial 16S ribosomal RNA". It matches the Rfam family "Bacterial small subunit ribosomal RNA", at positions 28 to 507 of the family's 1533-position model. The record is from RNAcentral.
GAUGAACGCUGGCGGCGUGCCUAAUACAUGCAAGUCGAGCGAACAGAUGAGGAGCUUGCUCCUCUGACGUUAGCGGCGGACGGGUGAGUAACACGUGGAUAACCUACCUAUAAGACUGGGAUAACUUCGGGAAACCGGAGCUAAUACCGGAUAAUAUAUUGAACCGCAUGGUUCAAUAGUGAAAGACGGUUUUGCUGUCACUUAUAGAUGGAUCCGCGCCGCAUUAGCUAGUUGGUAAGGUAACGGCUUACCAAGGCAACGAUGCGUAGCCGACCUGAGAGGGUGGUCGCCAACAGUGUGAGUGAGACGCACACCACACACAGAGGGGGGGCAACGGGAGAGACUCUGCCGGAAGGGGGGAGGGGCGGAGGGAGCACCCCGGGGGGAGGAAUAAAGGUCUCGGGACCGUAAAACUUUUUUAUGAGGAAAAAAAAAAGGUUAAAGAAACUGUGCAGGUUUUGACGGUACCUAAUAAAAAAGCCAGGGCUAACUCCGUG